Cervus elaphus (red deer) is the source of this 2772-nucleotide long non-coding RNA. RefSeq lists it as uncharacterized. The record is from RefSeq and is a predicted model, not a curated record. The transcript has 3 exons. Lineage: Eukaryota; Metazoa; Chordata; Mammalia; Artiodactyla; Cervidae.
AGUUAUUUUCAUUGUGAAUUUAUAGUGGGUGGCUAUUCUUCAUUUAUAGAUGGAGUUCACUUUUAGCUUAAGACUUUUUAUGAAAGGAAAAAGUCAUUCUGAUUUCAGGAUGUGUUAGUAAGAAUGUUGACAUCACACUGGAGGUUCUGAUCAAUUUCUUGUUUUGUGAAUACCCUUGUUGUGAAUCCCAGAGUUGUGGAAAUUUUAUAGUUUAAAAUUUUUACUCCUAUUUUGUUUGCCACAGGUAACUUUUAGAACCACUCUGAACACUGAUUUUGCUAUUCAAAAGAUUUAAAGAUGUGUCAUUAAGCUGAUACUGAGAAAUGUUUUCAGUAUGAAGAUGGUUGGGGACAGAAGUUAGCAAGGAGGCUGGGAUGAGAAAAAUAAAAAAAUUACCUUCUCUUUUCUGGUUUUUAAAACAUCUUGAUUUUUAAAAAAAAAAAAAAUUCAGGCUUAUUGAGGUACAACUUAUAUGCAGUAAAAUUCACCCUUUUAGGUAUGAAGUUCAAUGAGUUUUGACAAAAGUAUUCAGUUGUGUAACCACCACCACAAUGGAGAGAGCGAGCUUUCAAACACUGCAGACACUUUCUGGUGCCCUAUUGUAGUCAGUCCCACUGCCGGACCCUGGCAACAACUGAUUAGACUUCUGUCUUUGCUUUUUUCCAGAAUGAAAUAAACAGAGUAUGUAUAGAAUCAUACAGUGUGUAGUCUUUUGCAUCUGGUUUCUCAUCCUUAGAAUAAUACUUCGAGAUUUGUUCUUAUUGAUUUCAUAAUCAAAUGCAAAAUCCAAAAUAUAUACCUGACUUUUAAAUUUUCUUGUAUACUAUGGCCCGCUCCAUUCCGUUGAUGCAUGUGAUAGUUUGAUUGUAAUAUAAGGACUGGCAGACAACACACCUUCAGAGGCGAUGCUUUGACGGUGCAAUUCCUGGGUCUGGGACAUUGACGUGGGAUAAUCUCGCCUGGGUUUUUGGUUCUGUUUCCCAUCACUGUCGGCAGGUCAGUAUCUUACCUUGCUGCUUCUCAUCUUGGCUAGUGGCUUACGGUCACAGGAGGAGUCUUGGCCAGAAUGCUUUCUGCUCUAAUCUAUUCUGAGUAGGGUGUGAUUUUGUGCAGCUUUGGAGAAACAAGUAGAAGCCAAGUAGAGAAUACUGCAGUCUGGCUAAGGAUGUCCUCAAAAGGAGAGAUUCGUUGAGGUCCUGUGAAAAACAUUAAUCAUUUACUGGGGCUGGACAUAUCAGAGUGUCACAAGCUCCUGCCUCAGUGAAGUGGAGUAGAAAUAGAUGCCUCAACUUCAAAUAUCCCCUACUCUUUCCAUCCCUCCCUUUGCCUUUUUUCUUCCCCUCUUUGGCUAUAAAGUAAUAACAGGGAUCAGACCUUAUACAAUUUAUAUGCAAUGUAGGUUAUUUCUCUCCCAAUAACAGUUCCCAGUGACUCCAAUGUAAUAAGAAUGGUUGUUAGGAAGGUUAUUGUGGGUAUUUUAAAAACUCUUUGAUAUUAUUCAGCCUACUUCUUUUCCCUAGGCUGUGAUUUAUCAUUGUGCUCUCCUAUAACAUAGAAAAGCUAUUGGCUUUAAAGGACUUUACUUAUUAAAUACCUUUCAGGUGCCAAUUCAGUUCCUUGACCUUGACUCUUUCAAUCUAUAUUUUUCAUAGUUUAAAAUCCCUUCCCUUGAAUUAAGGUCUUAAGUCUUAUAAUCGUUCCUAUUUAGCUUUUCUCACCUUUUUUUUUUUUUUAAUUUAUCCAUUGGGAACUGAAGUUUGUAGGUGAUGUGCCAUUAGUCUUGUUUCUCUUCUGGUAUUUUUUUCUCCAGUUCCAAGUCAUUCUGAUUAUUUUGGUCACCAUGUUGCCUUAUAAACAUGGUCAUCUCAUUCAGCACUCUCAAAUAUGUGUUCCCUCUGGUGGAUCACCAAAUUUUUCUAUUUCAUUAAAUAAAUAAUUGAUUCCAUCACUUUAUCCAGAAAAAUAUUCUCAGUUGCAUUUUGUUGAAUUAUAUUUUAUUUUUUACCCAUAUUAAUGGUGCCCUUGACUCUUUUUGACAAUCUUUCUUACACCUUCUGGACUUAGAACCCAAAUAAUUAUCAGUGGCAAAGUAAAUGUUAGCUAAUGCUUUUUAGCACAUUAAGAUGCAUAUCCUUUGGAUCUGGAGAUUUUUACAUUAACUUUAAAAUAGCAUGUUAUUUUUGGAUGCAUUAACAAGACCUCCUCAGCAUUAUCUUUCCCUAAUGCUCAACUGUGUUAGUUUUAUUUUAAAUGUGAGAUUUACAAAGGAGCUUCCAUUUGGGAGGACUAUUUUGAGACACUCAGUUGAGGAAGAUAAGGCUAUAAUAAUAUAUUUGUAUCUGUAUACAUUCACAUUAGUUUUUCCAUCAUUUAUUUUGAAAUGUAUUAUUACCUUUUUAUUAUAAUGAUGAGAAAUGUCAGGUUCGGAGUAGCAUGACAUCCAGUGCAUGGUGUAAAGUAAGCUCCAGCAGCAAAAAGAUGGCGUAUCUAAUCCUUGUUGCUCCCAUGACUCUGGAAAGACAGGGCUGGGACGAUUGAAUCAUUCAUUGACUAAACACUGAGACCCCUUCUGCAGAACCUGUGGACACGUUAAGGGCAGGCGUGCUUAUCUGGUACAUCAUUAUAUUGCAGAUGUAAUGGUGUAGCGACUGAUAAAUAAUAGGACUGGCCCUACACAAAGGAAAUCAGCCCUGAAUAUUCAUUGGAAGGACUGGUGAUGCAGCUGAAACUCCAAUACUUUGGCCACCUGAUGCGAAGAACUGACUCAUCUGA